This 497-nucleotide ribosomal RNA is filed under the name uncultured bacterium. RNAcentral's name for it is "partial 16S ribosomal RNA". It matches the Rfam family "Bacterial small subunit ribosomal RNA", at positions 28 to 507 of the family's 1533-position model. The record is from RNAcentral.
GAUGAACGCUGGCGGCGUGCCUAAUACAUGCAAGUCGAGCGAACAGAUGAGGAGCUUGCUUCUUUGACGUUAGCGGCGGACGGGUGAGUAACACGUGGAUAACCUACCUAUAAGACUGGGAUAACUUCGGGAAACCGGAGCUAAUACCGGAUAACAUUUUGAACCGCAUGGUUCAAAAGUGAAAGACGGCCUUGCUGUCACUUAUAGAUGGAUCCGCGCUGUAUUAGCUAGUUGGUAAGGUAACGGCUUACCAAGGCAACGAUGCAUAGCCGACCUGAGAGGGUGAUCGGCCACACUGGAACUGAGACACGGUCCAGACUCCUACGGGAGGCAGCAGUAGGGAAUCUUCCGCAAUGGGCGAAAGCCUGACGGAGCAACGCCGCGUGAGUGAUGAAGGUCUUCGGAUCGUAAAACUCUGUUAUUAGGGAAGAACAUAUGUGUAAGUAACUGUGCGCAUCUUGACGGUACCUAAUCAGAAAGCCACGGCUAACUACGUG